UACGGAGGGUGCAAGCGUUAUCCGGAUUUACUGGGUUUAAAGGGUGUGUAGGCGGGCUAUUAAGUCAGUGGUGAAAUCUCCGGGCUCAACCUGGAAACUGCCAUUGAUACUAUUAGUCUUGAAUUCUGUUGAGGUGGGCGGAAUAAGUCAUGUAGCGGUGAAAUGCAUAGAUAUGACUUAGAACACCAAUUGCGAAGGCAGCUCGCUAAACAGACAUUGACGCUGAGGCACGAAAGCGUGGGGAGCAAACAGG
RNAcentral lists this ribosomal RNA (253 nucleotides) under uncultured bacterium. RNAcentral describes it as "partial 16S ribosomal RNA". It matches the Rfam family "Bacterial small subunit ribosomal RNA", at positions 524 to 776 of the family's 1533-position model. The record is from RNAcentral.